Paramormyrops kingsleyae is the source of this 408-nucleotide non-coding RNA. The record is from RefSeq and is a predicted model, not a curated record. Lineage: Eukaryota; Metazoa; Chordata; Actinopteri; Osteoglossiformes; Mormyridae.
ACCUAUGAAGGUCCUGGACGGUGUCCCCCAUCUCUCACUCUGCGGUGGGUUAGUGACACAGACCCCCCGUGGCAGAGAGAUCCCAGCACCCAGACACACCCAGACCGCUGUAUCUCCACUCUGCCGAUUAACCAUCCGGGGACAGAGAAGGACCAGACGGAAUGGCGAUGUCAGCUGCUGGAUACGGGGGAGGUGAAGCUCACAUCCAGACCUGACAGUCCUGAAGACAACAGUGAUCAUACAGAAACUACAAUGAAGACACCAACUCACACUGGUUCCCAUACUAACCAUACAAGUCACACAACUGUAGCUCCAACAGCUACAGCAGCAGCUCCAGAGAGGAACAGGGCGGCCCUACAGCCUGCCAGUGACCUGCAGUUAUAUCCUGUGUGUAUAUAAUGAGAGCAG